RNAcentral lists this non-coding RNA (24 nucleotides) under Arabidopsis thaliana (thale cress). The record is from RNAcentral. Lineage: Eukaryota; Viridiplantae; Streptophyta; Magnoliopsida; Brassicales; Brassicaceae. RNAcentral also lists the same sequence under 2 other names.
CAUCUAGUAGCUGGUUCCCUCCGA